GUCGCUUUAGCCAAGUGGUUAAGGCGUGUGCUUGCUAAGUGCAUGAGGUUCCCCCGGAAGAGUUUGAACCUCUCAAGUGACG
RNAcentral lists this transfer RNA (82 nucleotides) under Malus domestica (apple). RNAcentral describes it as "tRNA MD11G0101900". It matches the Rfam family "tRNA". From Rfam's summary of the family: Transfer RNA (tRNA) molecules are approximately 80 nucleotides in length. Their secondary structure includes four short double-helical elements and three loops (D, anti-codon, and T loops). Further hydrogen bonds mediate the characteristic L-shaped molecular structure. tRNAs have two regions of fundamental functional importance: the anti-codon, which is responsible for specific mRNA codon recognition, and the 3' end, to which the tRNAs corresponding amino acid is attached (by aminoacyl-tRNA synthetases). tRNAs cope with the degeneracy of the genetic code in two manners: having more than one tRNA (with a specific anti-codon) for a particular amino acid; and 'wobble' base-pairing, i.e. permitting non-standard base-pairing at the 3rd anti-codon position. Lineage: Eukaryota; Viridiplantae; Streptophyta; Magnoliopsida; Rosales; Rosaceae. The record is from Rfam by way of RNAcentral.